Molecule: ribosomal RNA, 253 nt
Filed under: uncultured bacterium
Lineage: Bacteria
Description: partial 16S ribosomal RNA
Rfam family: Bacterial small subunit ribosomal RNA
Source: RNAcentral
UACGGAGGGAGCAAGCGUUACCCGGAAUUAUUGGGCGUAAAGGGCGCGUAGGCGAUCUGAAAAGUUCUGUGUGAAAGCCCACAUGUUAACUGUGGAAGUGCACAGAAAACUGUUGGAUUUGAGUUCAGGAGAGGAAGGCAGAAUUCCCGGUGUAGCGGUGAAAUGCGUAGAGAUCGGGAGGAAUACCAGUGGCGAAGGCGGCCUUCUGGACUGACACUGACGCUGAGGCGCGAAAGCCAGGGGAGCAAACGGG